AUUGAACGCUGGCGGCAUGCCUUACACAUGCAAGUCGAACGGUAGGGGGAGCAAUCCCCUGAGAGUGGCGAACGGGUGAGUAAUACAUCGGAACGUACCUGGUAGUGGGGGAUAGCCCGGCGAAAGCCGGAUUAAUACCGCAUAAGACCUGAGGGUGAAAGCGGGGGACUCGCAAGGGCCUCGCGCUACCGGAGCGGCCGAUGUCAGAUUAGCUAGUUGGUGGGGUAAAAGCCUACCAAGGCGACGAUCUGUAGCUGGUCUGAGAGGACGACCAGCCACACUGGGACUGAGACACGGCCCAGACUCCUACGGGAGGCAGCAGUGGGGAAUUUUGGACAAUGGGCGCAAGCCUGAUCCAGCCAUGCCGCGUGCGGGAAGAAGGCCUCGGUGUAACG
This 395-nucleotide ribosomal RNA is filed under the name uncultured bacterium. RNAcentral describes it as "bacterial SSU rRNA". It matches the Rfam family "Bacterial small subunit ribosomal RNA", at positions 29 to 430 of the family's 1533-position model. The record is from RNAcentral.